This is a long non-coding RNA of Hemicordylus capensis (graceful crag lizard), 2648 nucleotides long. RefSeq lists it as uncharacterized. Lineage: Eukaryota; Metazoa; Chordata; Lepidosauria; Squamata; Cordylidae. The record is from RefSeq and is a predicted model, not a curated record. The transcript has 3 exons.
UGGAAGCCACACAGGGGCAUAGCAAUGUUGGAAUGGGCCCAGAGAUGAGAUUUUAAAAUGGAACCCCCUGUCACUGCCUUCCUCUCCUAAUACAAGAGGGGUGGGGGGAAGGGGAGGGAAGACAGAAAAAAAUAUCAUCCAAGAUGUGAUGGAGAAAAAGAAGAAAGUCCAUGGGAUGGAGUGGGCCCCCUCCCUGGAACUCUUUAGAGCAGAGUCACGAUAAUGCUCAGCACAGUCCAAUGCAAUGACCAGCCUACAGAGAGACUUUUUCAUGCUGGUAAGGAUGUUAAACCACGAACAUCUAUCGGGGGUGCAUUUCAUAGCCUAGGAGUGACUACAGAGAAGGCCUGUUCCCGAGUCACCGCCAGAUGAGCUGUGGUGGAGGGCCCUGAACAAAGACCAACCCAGGGCACGCAAGGUUUCACUUGGAAGUCUUGCAAACUUGAAAAUGAACUCUUGAUGCUCCUGGACUCCUGAUCGAAUCUUACCCAUUGGUUAAAUAGGACAUUUGUCCUGGCUGUUGGUGUUCAAUUGUUGCCACACAGCAAAGCAUUGCCUUUGCAGGGGCGGCCCUUUCAUGAGGCAAGGUGAGGCCAUUGUCUUAGGUGGAAGAUUAUUGGGGCACCAGCAGGGCGGCAAAAUCCUCCCUGCUGCUACAAUCAGAGCAGCACUCUGGAAGUAAUCUGCUCCUUGCAAGCUUUGUGCCUAUCCUCACGCCCUUUGCAAAGCUUGUAAGAAGCUCCACGAGAAACGAGGAGGCUUCUGGCAACCUUGUUUUCUUCCCACCUAUGCAAAGCUUGCAAGGGUCAGUUUUGAAAGGGGGAUGGCCCCAACCAGGGACAUGGGGCAAGACAGCAUUUGGCAGCUUGCCUCAGGCACUGCGAUUCCUUGGGCUGCCCCUGCACCUUUUCUGGGACACAUGUUAUGGGAUCAAAGCUUGUUGGCAGCAGUGAGGUAUGUAUGUACUCUGUGAUUCUCCGGAAGCAAAGAAGCAAACUUUGAAAUAUGAUGUUGACGGUAGAAUUUAAUUUCACGGGCCCUUAAAAAAAAUCAAGCUUAUGAGGUGGCUAACUGGCCAGAAAAACUGCCUGGCCUGCUCCUGUGCCUUUAACCCAAUCUGCAGAAACCAAUAGGUUAAAGUUUCUGCAGAUCAGGCUACUACUAAACGUAGAGGAGCAGGGACUAGGAAAAAUGUUGACAACCCUAAACACUCCUCAGAUAAUUCCGGAAAUAUGCUUGAAGGUGUGUGGAAAUGUCUGCUGAAAUCUCAGCCGCUCAUGGAGUUGCUGAGGAAGAUUCCCCUUGAGCAUUGGGUGUUCGACUUAGUUUUUUGCCUUCUUCACAAAUUAUGCCCAUUUGCUUAAUUUGCAUAAUGUUUACCGGUUGCAGAAUCCAGUCUGUGUGAUCACAAAAUCAGGAACGGAGCCAGGCUGGCGGCAGCGGCCCUCUGGCCCCGCCCCCCGCGUCUGACGUCAGACGUGCCUGGUUAGCCAUGCCCCCGCAUCUGACGUCAGACACGGCAGGCAUGGUUUCCCUUCCAAACAAGGCUGCGUAGCCCCAUUUGGAAAGGAGAUCGGCCCACCCUGCUUUGAGCCAAUGGAGCAGGGACCGAUCUCUCUCCUAACUGGGGCUGCCCAAUGGUGGCUCCGCCCCUGCACAAAAUAUGGGUUACUUUGGUGCAGAAUUUUGGUUUAGUGCACAGUCCUGGCCCAGUCAUCUAUUGUCCAGUUUAAGCUUCCUUUGAACUGUGCAGUCUUGUGCUUUGCAUUAGGAUAAUAUAAGUAAGUUGGCUGGAGCUGAAUGCAAAAUGGAAGAUUAAUUUUAAUUUUAAUGAGUUUUAAUUUGAUUCAAAUAUUUUCUGAUUUUCCUUGUUUUAUUUUAAUGUAAAGCAACCCGAGAAGGGUUUUGCACAGACCAUUCAAUGUCAAGCCGGUUUGCCUGAUAUCAGGCUGGUUUGGUGGUUCGAUUGUGGACUGAACUGAAUCAAACAUGGUUCAGGCAAACCAGUUCAGCAUCAAGUGUAUGUGAUGCCUUGUUAGCAAGCUGUCCACAUGGUGGCGACAUGGUGGCGGACUCUGCUCAUGUGAGGAGGCCAUUUGCAUGGUGUCCUCACUUGAGCCACUUUAGGAAGGGCAGUGUAUAUAUUGAAUGAAUGAAUGAAUGAAUGAAUGAAUGAAUAAGAUUGUACACAAUGUUAAAACGUAGGAUGGACAUGUCAGAGACAGUACUCAAGGUAAAGGGGAAGCAACUGUUAAUCUGGGAAUUGUGCCAGGCUAAUUGUGGUUAGAUUUUGAUUAAAAGCUCUGCAUUUUUCUGGUUUCUGUAAAAUAGAUUACUGAAAUGUCUUUGGGGUUUCUGCAAACCUAUCAGUAAUUUAGCUACAAAAGAUAACCCACUACUAAAAAAGUUUGAGACAAUUAUAAAAUUCACUCUGAGUUUGGUUCUCUCUUCUUGGUAGAUGGUUUUGUUGGAGCUAGGAUCUUGCCUGGCAGCAUCAGCUCUCAGCUGCAAUGCCUCAUAGUGACCACUAGUGGGGGGUUAGGGUCAUGGAUAAAAGUGCUGGACUCUUUGUUCUUCAGGUGUUAGUCUCCAUUUUUUCUCUCCAGAGAUGGCUGUUUUGGUCUCUCUAGCCACGAGCUACAGCUGAA